GACGAAGGGGGCUAGCGUUGUUCGGAAUUACUGGGCGUAAAGCGCGUGUAGGCGGUUGUCAAAGUCGGGUGUGAAAGCCUUGAGCUUAACUCAAGAAAUGCACUCGAUACUUGGUGACUAGAGGACCGGAGAGGAUAGUGGAAUUCCCAGUGUAGUGGUGAAAUACGUAGAGAUUGGGAAGAACACCAGUGGCGAAGGCGGCUAUCUGGACGGUUUCUGACGCUAAGGAGCGAAAGCGUGGGGAGCGAACAGG
Molecule: ribosomal RNA, 253 nt
Filed under: uncultured bacterium
Lineage: Bacteria
Description: partial 16S ribosomal RNA
Rfam family: Bacterial small subunit ribosomal RNA
Source: RNAcentral